This 741-nucleotide long non-coding RNA is filed under the name Homo sapiens (human). RNAcentral's name for it is "long non-coding RNA NONHSAT162079.1". The record is from RNAcentral. Lineage: Eukaryota; Metazoa; Chordata; Mammalia; Primates; Hominidae.
UGCUACUUUGUCUCACAGUGGGAAGUACAGAUGACUCCCCAGGUGAGACGGCAUUUGAUUGAGAGCUUAAAACAAGAGUUCCACAGAUGAGGAGAAGAAAGAAGCUUUCACUCCAGGCAGGAGGAACAGUGUGAGGGUGAAUACAGAGUAUGGUAGAGGAAAACAGAAUGGCCUGAGCAAGAAAGGGUAACAAACCAGCCAACAAAUGGGAGGUUUUUCCUGAGUGCAUGAUGAGAAAGGCAGGUGCUACUGGAAAUCACUGGGUUACUGGGACUAAGAACAUUGGUGAGCAUGUUGGGUGGGUGAUUUUUCACAAAUCCGGAUGGGAGGAAAGGAAGAAUCUAAAGGAACAGCAAGGACUCACAAGAACAGAUGUCCAAUGAGGCUAAAGAAUGGGUUACAAAAAGAAAAAGAAAGCAGAAAAAGGAUUUCAAAAUUCAGGAUUUCAAAGAUUGAGUCAUUUUAUAUGUGACAAGGCUCCAGGACUGCCAGGAAAGCUGCAGAACAGAGGUCUGAAAACAUAAGAGAAGCCAGGAAAAUGCAAGUCCUUCCUCCUGACCCUAGAAAAUCUCUGCUGCCAAGGCUGGGACUCUGCUGCCAACUUCAGGCCUGGGAAAACCAAGACUCCAGGAGCUCUACCUCUAGGAUUCUUCCAAACAUCUCACCAUGUCCUCUGAUACCUCUGUAGUCAUCUGCCACAACCUACUUCUGAAUAAAUCCUACAUUCCACCUUUCUGUGCC